UAUCUUGUGUUUGUGAGCCCAAAAUGUUGGGUUAUGUUUUUAGUCCACUUGGCUAAAUGGGUUGGCUUUUCUUAGAAGCCUUGGAGUGUUUUUUUGAUGUUUAUUCAUAACCUAAGGUGAGUUAGGUUAGCUGUGAGAAAUCAGAUUAAAACACACACAAAAGAAAAGGAGAGAAAGAGAAAAGAGGGAGUUCGUAGUUUUCAGGGCAGCCAUCAGAAAACAUCUGUUUGCUGGAGAUUGAACGGUCGGAUCGUGCUGAUAUUUGGUCAGCUUGUUAAGGAUACAUAGGGCCUCAUUUUGAACGGUUGGAUCGUCGUUUAUAGUUCUGGUUUGUCUGUGGUUUUUGCUGGACAGAACCUACGUUUUUUGGUGAUCCUUGUGGGUAGUUGAUAUAUAUACUACUAGGGUCCUAUCAGAGGGAAGGACAUCCAAGAGGGAGAGAGAGGAUGCAGAGCAGUGGAGCGGUUGAAGGAGGAGAAGAGGAUGGUUGGUAGGAGGCAGGGCCGUGGGUGGGUCGUUGUUCAAAUGCCGCCAUAAGAUCGAGAAGCUCCGGAAACAUUACCGUGCUGAGCUAAAUCGGGUUGUUCCACAAAUUCAUUUUUCAUGGGUUUACUUCUCUAUUUCAUGGGAAAGGAGGGGGGAAAGGCGGAGCAGGUGGUAGUGUUGGUGGUUAAGAAGGCGAUGGCGCUAAGGUUGCUUGUUGUUGCUGGUAAUUUUAUUAAUGGUUGAUGUGAUGGUGAAUAUCGAAUGAUAUUGACAAAUUUGAUGAUGAUGAUGAUGAGAACUCAGAACAAAAUAAAGGGAAUGAAUCGCAAGAGGUUUAACUUUUGAUGAUAAGUAAUUUCUUUUUAAAUUUUUUCUUAAUUGUUAUUUUAUAUUUAAAUUAAUAAUAAUAAAUAAUAAUGACAUCAUUUUUCGA
Spinacia oleracea (spinach) is the source of this 919-nucleotide long non-coding RNA. RefSeq lists it as uncharacterized. The transcript is spliced from 2 exons. Lineage: Eukaryota; Viridiplantae; Streptophyta; Magnoliopsida; Caryophyllales; Amaranthaceae. The record is from RefSeq and is a predicted model, not a curated record.